UACGGAGGAUGCGAGCGUUAUCCGGAUUUAUUGGGUUUAAAGGGUGCGUAGGCGGGCAUUUAAGCCGGCGGUCAAAUGUCGGGGCUCAACCCCGGCCUGCCGUUGAAACUGGCAGUCUCGAGUUGGAGAGAAGUAUGCGGAAUGCGCGGUGUAGCGGUGAAAUGCAUAGAUAUCGCGCAGAACUCCGAUUGCGAAGGCAGCAUGCCGGCUCCACACUGACGCUGAGGCACGAAAGCGUGGGGAGCAAAUAGG
Molecule: ribosomal RNA, 252 nt
Filed under: uncultured Bacteroidales bacterium
Lineage: Bacteria; Pseudomonadati; Bacteroidota; Bacteroidia; Bacteroidales
Description: partial 16S ribosomal RNA
Rfam family: Bacterial small subunit ribosomal RNA
Source: RNAcentral